Molecule: long non-coding RNA, 1981 nt
Organism: Leopardus geoffroyi (Geoffroy's cat)
Lineage: Eukaryota; Metazoa; Chordata; Mammalia; Carnivora; Felidae
Exons: 2
Source: RefSeq, a predicted model, not a curated record
AGAUGGUGGUGCCAGGGUUGGCAAUUUGACUGCCAAGUCUUGGAAAUCCUCAGAGGACAAUCUUGACUGUUGUGCUGCCUGCCCCUUUUGGUCGGAAGUGGCGAGGGAUGAAGCCCAGAGGAACACUGAGGCCAGUGGGAGCUGGGGUGCCCAGCACCCUCUUUCUUCCAUUGUCCCCUGAACACGGAUCCUGGGAAUGUCUCUGCAAAUGGCAGGAAGGAUGAAGAUCACUGAUGGGCCAUUGUCAGCAGAAGAGCAGCAAGACAGAGCUGCAGUGAGGCCUGCAGGUAGACACCAGCAUGACUUCCUAGUAAAGAGAGGCACAGGCUAGGGAUAGAAAGAUCUGGAUGGGGUCUAAGAUGUUUUCAGACAAUGGAUAUUUGAAAACUCUCAGAGGAUAAUGGUUUGGAAACCCAGUCGCCACCAACCCCUUCUCAGGACUAUCAGAGCCAGGGCCUUGGGGCUGGGGUGAACAGAGGGGUACUGAGGUCUUGACCUGGGAGACACAGCAAUUAGGAACCUGGGAAACUUAGAAACUACAGGUCUGUAGUGAGGAUGACAGUCAGGAAAUUCCUUGAGAAGAUUUAGGUGACGGGAUAAGGGGAUGGGCCUCUGAAGGUCCCACCGGGCCCCAGAAUCCUACAGGGCAGGAAGACUAAGAACAGGUCCCAUCUGGAGACCAAGUCUCCAGAGCCCCCUUUCUUGAGCCCCUGGAAUCCAAGAUCCUGAAACCCUGCCCCUCCAGACCAGGUCUUGGCAGGGCUAGCAGUGAUAACAAAGGGGUGAGGGCAGUGUAAUGGGUCAGGCACAUCACAGCUCCUAUUAAGAGGCUUGGCGCUCGAGGUCAAGGGGUAGGAGCAGGUGGGCUUAUUACCCGCCUCACCAAUACCAAGUCACUCAUAGUCCUUCUUCUACAGCCCCUUCCUGCCCCAUACAGUGUCUGAGUCAGCCUUUUGAUGGCCCAACGGAGCCCACAGGAGCUCCCAGGAAACCGUCUCAGGCCCCAGCACAGGCCCAGGCACAUAGGAGGCUUCCAGGAAAUGCUUGUCAAGUGGAACAGUAGCAAGAAGGAAUUGAAAAGCCCAACCCUCUGAUGGGACUUGCUCACGUCAUCCAGUAAGGAGCUGCUCAGGGCCUGGAACUAAGCCUGGGUGGGCUUUGCUUAGCACGCUGCCUCCUAGGGAGAGGGUGGGAUGGCGAGGAGAUGGCCUGGCUCAGGCUCUGCGGCACAGAGCCCCGCUCCACCUGAAAAGGCCCAGCCUGAGAAGGGAGGAUGAGCCAGCAGAGGAGAAGGGAGAGCUCAUAGGCCAGACCCCUGGGGAGUCCCUGAGCAGGGGAGGUCAGCCUCCCGUCCCCCGGGAUCCAAGUGACCCAGGCUAAAGGAGAAGGUGAAGUUGUUUACAUUGUAGACAUAGCACAGAGGGUGGAUGGUGACUUGAGUCAGUGUGUAAGCCCAUCCUCACACCUCUUUCCUCUCUGACCAGAGAAAGCUGGAAAGUUUAGCCCAUCCUAACUCUAGACUAAGAUGGAGAGGGGCCAAGACAGAGGGGAGGACAGAGAGGUAACCCCCAGACAAAGCACCAGUACCACAGGAGCUGGGUGGGGAAGGCUGGGCCAGGACAGAGGCCACAUUCUCUGGGGAAUGUGCUGCCCACAGGCAGGCUGAACUAAGGACAAAUACAGGCUCCACGUAGAACAGUGUCAGUGUCAGAAUGUUUCUCAGGAGGGAAGUUGGGAAGUUUAGAGCCUGCUCUUGCCCUGCACGGCACUUGUUCCCAGCCCCUGCUGACCCACCAGCCAUGAUGGGAGGCUAGGGAGAGGGGCUGGGACGUGGUGGAGGGCAUGGGGCUGACCUAGGGGACAAAAACAGAAAUGAGGACAACGACUGGUGUUGUCUGCUCCAGAGUCAUGGCAUUUAGGCCCUGGAUACCAGCCCCCCUCACCACCUCUCCCUAGCCUGUCAGUAAAGCUGUGCACUCAC